This 253-nucleotide ribosomal RNA is filed under the name uncultured bacterium. RNAcentral's name for it is "partial 16S ribosomal RNA". It matches the Rfam family "Bacterial small subunit ribosomal RNA", at positions 524 to 776 of the family's 1533-position model. The record is from RNAcentral.
UACGAAGGGGGCUAGCGUUGUUCGGAAUCACUGGGCGUAAAGCGCACGUAGGCGGAUCUUUAAGUCAGGGGUGAAAUCCCGAGGCUCAACCUCGGAACUGCCUUUGAUACUGGGGAUCUCGAGUCCGGGAGAGGUGAGUGGAACUGCGAGUGUAGAGGUGAAAUUCGUAGAUAUUCGGAAGAACACCAGUGGCGAAGGCGGCUCACUGGCCCGAUACUGACGCUGAGGCACGAAAGCGUGGGGAGCAAACAGG